UUUGACCCUAACUCUUCCAACCACGAAGUUGAUGACUUCUCACUAAGAAUAACUUCGUUUUCUGGUUUCUUCAUGCAGGCUUGGCCCCACCGUCCGACCCUUCCAGUAUCGCAUUCAAGGUGAUCAUGUGAACGAAAGACCAAACCACUCCGACUGAAGGAAGUGAACCUGUGCUGGCCUCUUGGCCGUCGUUGGGACGUCUGGGGCUGGGUCGAGACUUUUCUGGCAUACAGAUGGUUAUACUUCCCAGUCCCCUAGCAGCUCCCUUGGCGGAGUCGUGCGAGUGGUUUUGGCUAAUGGGCUGUGCUGCAGCGUGGGAGAGCGGGUGUGAGAACACUGAGUGCUCUCCUCUUCCACCGUGGUGACCCGGGAGGCUUUGUGUUGUCAUGGCAGAGCCGCAGGAUUGAAACGGCCUAUGUUGUGUCACUUCAUGGAGAACAACACCCUGGCGGUCGUCCAGACCCACAGCUGGCUUUGUGGGAGUUGGAAAUGGAUGUGUGAAGCCACUGAGGUUGUGGAGUUGUUUGUUACCACAGCAUAACCUUUCUUGACCAGAGCUUGUUGGAAAAGUUUUCCUGUGAAGGGCUAGAUAGUAAAUAUUUUAGACGAUACAGGUCAUAUGGUCUCUGUCACAACUACUCCACACUUCCAUUGAGCAAAAAGCAACCACAGAUAAUACAUAAAUGAACAAGCAUGGCUGUGUUCCAGUAAAUCUUUAUUUACAAAAAUGGGUGGCAGAUCUGGCCCCUGGACCAUAGUUUGCUGACCUCUGUUCUUGAUUAAUACUUUGGCCUAUGCCUGUCUUAUUACAAAUAAAAUUCUAAAUAAUAAAAUCCUAAAACAUUUCAAUUACAAAGAGAAACAAGCAGGGUUGUCCACUAUUGCCACUUAAUAACACUAUUUUAGAAGGUGUAGUUAAUGCAAUAUGAUGUAAAAUUGAAAUAAUUGGUCUAAAUAUUGGAAAAUAAUUUUUUUUGCUGAUGACAUAAUCAUAUACUCAGAAAAUCUGAGAAACACUAGUAAAAA
Equus quagga is the source of this 1026-nucleotide long non-coding RNA. RefSeq lists it as uncharacterized. NCBI's taxonomy places the organism in Eukaryota, Metazoa, Chordata, Mammalia, Perissodactyla, Equidae. The transcript has 3 exons. The record is from RefSeq and is a predicted model, not a curated record.